CCUACGGGAGGCAGCAGUGAGGAAUAUUGGUCAAUGGACGAGAGUCUGAACCAGCCAAGUAGCGUGAAGGAUGACUGCCCUAUGGGUUGUAACCUUCUUUUAUAAAGGAAUAAAACGAGGCACGUGUGCCUUUUUGCAUGUACUUUAUGACUAAGGAUCGGCUAACUCCGUGCCAGCAGCCGCGGUAAUACGGAGGAUCAGAGCGUUUACCGGAUUUAUUGGGUUUAAAGGGAGCGUAGAUGGGUUGUUAAGUCAGUUGUGAAAGUUUGCGGCUCAACCGUAAAAUUGCAAUUGAUACUGGCAGUCUUGAGUACAGUUGAGGUAAGCGGAAUUCGUGGUGUAGCAGUGAAAUGCUUAGAUAUCACGAAGAACCCCGAUUGCGAAGGCAGCUUACUAAACUGUGACUGACAUUGAUGCUCGAAGGUGUGGGUAUCAAACAGGAUUAGAUACCCCAGUAGUC
This 460-nucleotide ribosomal RNA is filed under the name uncultured bacterium. RNAcentral's name for it is "partial 16S ribosomal RNA". It matches the Rfam family "Bacterial small subunit ribosomal RNA", at positions 338 to 795 of the family's 1533-position model. The record is from RNAcentral.